RNAcentral lists this ribosomal RNA (696 nucleotides) under uncultured cyanobacterium. Its description in RNAcentral is "bacterial SSU rRNA". It matches the Rfam family "Bacterial small subunit ribosomal RNA", at positions 66 to 804 of the family's 1533-position model. The record is from RNAcentral. Lineage: Bacteria; Bacillati; Cyanobacteriota.
ACGCAUCUCUUCGGGGAUGAGUGGCGGACGGGUGAGUAACGCGUGAGAAUCUGCCUUCAGGACUGGGACAACCACUGGAAACGGUGGCUAAUACCAGAUAUGCAGUGAGUGAAAAGGUUUAUUCCGCCUGAAGAUGAGCUCGCGUCAGAUUAGUUAGUUGGUGAGGUAACGGCUUACCAAGGCAUCGAUCUGUAGCUGGUCUGAGAGGAUGACCAGCCACACUGGGACUGAGAGACGGCCCAGACUCCUACGGGAGGCAGCAGUGAGGAAUUUUCCGCAAUGGGCGCAAGCCUGACGGAGUAAUACCGCGUGCGGGAGGAAGGUCUAUUGACUGUAAACCGCUUUUAUUAAGAAAGAAUUCUGACGGUACUUAAUGAAUAAGCCUCGGCUAACUCCGUGCCAGCAGCCGCGGUAAUACGGAGGAGGCAAGCGUUAUCCGGAAUUAUUGGGCGUAAAGCGUCCGUAGGUGGUUUUGCAAGUCGGCUGUCAAAGCCCGUGGCUCAACCACGGAAAGGCAGUGGAAACUACAAGACUGGAGUGCAGUAGGGGCAGAGGGAAUUCCCAGUGUAGCGGUGAAAUGCGUAGAGAUUGGGAAGAACACCCGUGGCGAAAGCGCUCUGCUGGACUGCAACUGACACUAAGGGACGAAAGCUAGGGGAGCGAAUGGGAUUAGAUACCCCAGUAGUCCUAGCCGUA